UGAUAUAUAUUCAACGGCCGCGGUAUCCUAACCGUGUGAAAGUAGCGUAAUCAUUUGUCUUUUAAAAAAAGACCUGUAUGAAUGGCACAACGAAGGUUUAACUGUCUCACUUUCUCUGUCAAUGAAAUUGAUCUCCUUGUGCAGAAGCAGGGAUAAGAACAUAAGACGAAAAGACCCCGUGGAGCUUUAGGGUAAGAACAGCUACAUUCAUAAUACAAUUAUGCAACUACGCUCCCUACCCUUCGGUUGGGGAAACCAUGGAGAAAAAUAAAACCUCCACAAAACACAUCAAAACCACAUCAAGCUUGAAUCAACAGUUCUAGUUUUCAAAACAUUUGUCCAAUGACCCAGAAACUCUGACCAAUGAAACAAGUUACCCCGGGGAUAACAGCGCAAUCCCCUUUCAGAGCUCGUAUUAACAAGGGGGUUUACGACCUCGAUGUUGGAUCAGGACAUCCAAACGGCGCAACCGCUGUUAAAGGUUCAUUUGUUCAAUGAUUAAAGUCCUACGUGAUCUGA
Molecule: ribosomal RNA, 519 nt
Filed under: Rachovia brevis
Lineage: Eukaryota; Metazoa; Chordata; Actinopteri; Cyprinodontiformes; Rivulidae
Description: partial 16S ribosomal RNA
Rfam family: Bacterial large subunit ribosomal RNA
Source: RNAcentral